AGCUCCAAUAGCGUAUAUUAAAGUUGUUGCAGUUAAAAAGCUCGUAGUCGGAUUUCGGGGCGACGCGUCCGGUCUGCCGAAGGGUGAGUACUGGGCGUUGCGUCCUUCCUUCUGGAGACUGGCUCUACUCUUAACUGAGCGGGGUCAGGAAACAGAUCGUUUACUUUGAAAAAUCAGAGUGUUUAAAGCAGGCCAAGAUUGCUCUUGCAUGGAUUAGCAUGGGAUAAUGAAAUAGGACUUUGGUGCUAUUUUGUUGGUUUCGAGCACCGAAGUAAUGAUUAAAAGGGACAGUCAGGGGCACUUGUAUUCCGUUGAGAGAGGUGAAAUUCUUAGACCAAUGGAAGACAAACUUCUGCGAAAGCAUUUGCCAGGGAUGUUUUCA
Molecule: ribosomal RNA, 382 nt
Filed under: uncultured eukaryote
Lineage: Eukaryota
Description: SSU rRNA
Rfam family: Eukaryotic small subunit ribosomal RNA
Source: RNAcentral